This 358-nucleotide ribosomal RNA is filed under the name uncultured bacterium. Its description in RNAcentral is "bacterial SSU rRNA". It matches the Rfam family "Bacterial small subunit ribosomal RNA", at positions 29 to 414 of the family's 1533-position model. The record is from RNAcentral.
AACGAACGCUGGCGGCAGGCCUAACACAUGCAAGUCGAACGCUCCGCAAGGGGAGUGGCGCACGGGUGAGUAACACGUGGGAACCUACCUUCUGGUACGGAACAACCAAGGGAAACUUUGGCUAAGACCGUAUACGACCUCCGGGUGAAAGAUUGAUCGCCGGAAGAGGGGCCCGCGUCCGAUUAGGUAGUUGGUGAGGUAACGGCUCACCAAGCCUUCGAUCGGUAGCUGGUCUGAGAGGAUGACCAGCCACACUGGGACUGAGACACGGCCCAGACUCCUACGGGAGGCAGCAGGUGGGGAAUAUUGGACAAGUGGGCGCAAGCCUGAUCCAGCCAUGCCGCGUGAGUGAUGAAGG